Molecule: ribosomal RNA, 273 nt
Filed under: uncultured Staphylococcus sp.
Lineage: Bacteria; Bacillati; Bacillota; Bacilli; Caryophanales; Staphylococcaceae
Description: partial 16S ribosomal RNA
Rfam family: Bacterial small subunit ribosomal RNA
Source: RNAcentral
ACGUUAGCGGCGGACGGGUGAGUAACACGUGGGUAACCUACCUAUAAGACUGGGAUAACUUCGGGAAACCGGAGCUAAUACCGGAUAAUAUUUCGAACCGCAUGGUUCGAUAGUGAAAGAUGGUUUUGCUAUCACUUAUAGAUGGACCCGCGCCGUAUUAGCUAGUUGGUAAGGUGACGGCUUACCAAGGCGACGAUACGUAGCCUACCUGAGAGGGUGAUCGGCCACACUGGAACUGAGACACGGUCCAGACUCCUACGGGAGGCAGCAGCC